AUACAAUAUGAAGCCUAACCUAUGAGAUGAUCCUGUGCAGAAAUGGAUUUAUAUAAGUCUCUUUGGGGCAGAAGGAAGAUGGAGAGGGAAAAUGCAUUCCCUGUUCCCACAGCCUUGCACUUGGUAAGACUACUACCUAGGAGUGUAGCAUCUAUAACACAUCCACACACCAAAAAAGCUCACCUUAUUCGCCG
Long non-coding RNA from Molossus molossus (Pallas's mastiff bat), 194 nucleotides. RefSeq lists it as uncharacterized. The record is from RefSeq and is a predicted model, not a curated record. NCBI's taxonomy places the organism in Eukaryota, Metazoa, Chordata, Mammalia, Chiroptera, Molossidae. The transcript is spliced from 3 exons.